Molecule: ribosomal RNA, 777 nt
Filed under: uncultured Neocallimastigales
Lineage: Eukaryota; Fungi; Neocallimastigomycota; Neocallimastigomycetes; Neocallimastigales
Description: partial large subunit ribosomal RNA
Rfam family: Eukaryotic large subunit ribosomal RNA
Source: RNAcentral
AGAGAGAGACAUGCGCGCCAUAUCAAUAAGCGGAGGAAAAGAAAACUAACAAGGAUUCCCUUAGUAACGGCGAGUGAAGCGGGAAGAGCUCAAAUUUGAAAUCUUCAAGGUUUUACCUUGACGAAUUGUAGUUUAAAGAAGUGUUUUUCUGCUGAAGUUUUGGUAAAAGUUCUUUGGAAUAGGACAUCAUAGAGGGUGAGAAUCCCGUAUUUGACCAUUAUUCUCAGCUUUGUGAUACACUUUCAAAGAGUCGGAUUGUUUGGGAAUGCAGUCCAAAAUGGGUGGUAAAUUUCAUCUAAAGCUAAAUAUUGGCGAGAGACCGAUAGCGAACAAGUACCGUGAGGGAAAGAUGAAAAGAACUUUGAAAAGAGAGUUAAACAGUACGUGAAAUUGUCAAAAGGGAAGCGUUUGACACCAGUGUUGUUUUCUCGAAAAUCAAUUAAAAAUGGCUCGAUUUUGUAUUGCUGAGACCUUAAAAGCUCACUGUACAUUUUUCGUGUCUUUUUUAAUGCACUUUUCGUUUAACAAGUCAACAUCAGUUUCUUUUGUUGUAAAAGGGUCAUUGGAAGGUGGCUUUCUUUUCGGAGAAAGUGUUUAUAGCCUUUGGCCUCUGCAAUCGGAGAGACUGAGGUCUGCAGCGUAGACUCUUCGGGGUUAGAUACAUUUGUGCUAAGUUAUAGCUUUUUAUAGACAACUUGUUGACUAUAAUUAGUCUUGUAGCUUACUCGCUUAUGCUAUUUUACCUACGCUUAGGAUGUUGAAGAUGUAGCACAUCAU